UCCGAAGGGGGCUAUCGUUGUUCGGAAUUACUGGGCGUAAAGCGCACGUAGGCGGACAUUUAAGUCAGGGGUGAAAUCCCGGGGCUCAACCCCGGAACUGCCUUUGAUACUGGGUGUCUGGAGUCCGGAAGAGGUGAGUGGAAUUCCGAGUGUAGAGGUGAAAUUCGUAGAUAUUCGGAGGAACACCAGUGGCGAAGGCGGCUCACUGGUCCGGUACUGACGCUGAGGUGCGAAAGCGUGGGGAGAAAACAGG
RNAcentral lists this ribosomal RNA (253 nucleotides) under uncultured bacterium. RNAcentral's name for it is "partial 16S ribosomal RNA". It matches the Rfam family "Bacterial small subunit ribosomal RNA", at positions 524 to 776 of the family's 1533-position model. The record is from RNAcentral.